UACGUAGGGGGCUAGCGUUGUCCGGAAUCAUUGGGCGUAAAGCGCGUGUAGGCGGUCCGGUAAGUCCGCUGUGAAAGUCGGGGGCUCAACCUCGAGACGCCGAUGGAAACCAUUUGGCUAGAGUCCGGAAGAGGAGAGUGGAAUUCCUGGUGUAGCGGUGAAAUGCGCAGAUAUCAGGAAGAACACCCGUGGCUAAGGCGGCUCUCUAGUACGGUACUGACGCUGAGACGCGAAAGCGUGGGGAGCGAACAGG
RNAcentral lists this ribosomal RNA (253 nucleotides) under uncultured bacterium. RNAcentral's name for it is "partial 16S ribosomal RNA". It matches the Rfam family "Bacterial small subunit ribosomal RNA", at positions 524 to 776 of the family's 1533-position model. The record is from RNAcentral.